RNAcentral lists this unclassified non-coding RNA (335 nucleotides) under soil metagenome. RNAcentral describes it as "partial contains 5.8S ribosomal RNA, internal transcribed spacer 2, and large subunit ribosomal RNA". The stretch from base 1 to 120 matches the Rfam family "5.8S ribosomal RNA", at positions 35 to 154 of the family's 154-position model. The record is from RNAcentral.
GAUGAAGAACGCAGUGAAAUGCGAUAAGUAAUGUGAAUUGCAGAAUUCAGUGAAUCAUCGAAUCUUUGAACGCACAUUGCGCCCGCUAGUAAUCUGGCGGGCAUGCCUGUUCGAGCGUCAUUUCAACCAUCAAGCUCCUUAGCUUGUGUUGGGGACCUGCGGCUGCCGCAGCCCCCGAAAUGCAGUGGCGGGCUCGUUGUCACACCGAGUGCAGUAAUCAUUCUUCUCUCCGGGCGUGGCGGCGGGUUCCGGCCGUAAAAUCACCAAUUUAUCAAGGUUGACCUCGGAUCAGGUAGGAAUACCCGCUGAACUUAAGCAUAUCAAUAAGCGGAGGA